Molecule: ribosomal RNA, 503 nt
Filed under: uncultured bacterium
Lineage: Bacteria
Description: partial 16S ribosomal RNA
Rfam family: Bacterial small subunit ribosomal RNA
Source: RNAcentral
AUUGAACGCUGGCGGCAGGCUUAACACAUGCAAGUCGAGCGGGGUGAUGGUGCUUGCACUAUCACUUAGCGGCGGACGGGUGAGUAAUGCUUAGGAAUCUGCCUAUUAGUGGGGGACAACAUCUCGAAGGGGAUGCUAAUACCGCAUACGUCCUACGGGAGAAAUCAGGGGAUCACUUGUGACCUUGCGCUAAUAGAUGAGCUUAAGUCGGAUUAGCUAGUUGGUGGGGUAAAGGCCUACCAAGGCGACGAUCUGUAGCGGGUCUGAGAGGAUGAUCCGACACACUGGGACUGAGAGACGGCCCAGACUCCUACGGGAGGCAGCAGUGGGGAAUAUUGGACAAUGGGGGGAACCCUGAUCCAGCCAUGCCGCGUGUGUGAAGAAGGCCUUAUGGUUGUAAAGCACUUUAAGCGAGGAGGAGGCUCUUUUGGUUAAUACCCAAGAUGAGUGGACGUUACUCGCAGAAUAAGCACCGGCUAACUCUGUGCCAGCCGCCGCAGUAA